This 289-nucleotide ribosomal RNA is filed under the name Escherichia coli. Its description in RNAcentral is "partial 23S ribosomal RNA". It matches the Rfam family "Bacterial large subunit ribosomal RNA", at positions 1 to 290 of the family's 2925-position model. The record is from RNAcentral. Lineage: Bacteria; Pseudomonadati; Pseudomonadota; Gammaproteobacteria; Enterobacterales; Enterobacteriaceae.
GGUUAAGCGACUAAGCGUACACGGUGGAUGCCCUGGCAGUCAGAGGCGAUGAAGGACGUGCUAAUCUGCGAUAAGCGUCGGUGAGGUGAUAUGAACCGUUAUAACCGGCGAUUUCCGAAUGGGGAAACCCAGUGUGUUUCGACACACUAUCAUUAACUGAAUCCAUAGGUUAAUGAGGCGAACCGGGGGAACUGAAACAUCUAAGUACCCCGAGGAAAAGAAAUCAACCGAGAUUCCCCCAGUAGCGGCGAGCGAACGGGGAGGAGCCCAGAGCCUGAAUCAGUGUGUG